Molecule: ribosomal RNA, 336 nt
Filed under: Oenothera environmental sample
Lineage: Eukaryota; Viridiplantae; Streptophyta; Magnoliopsida; Myrtales; Onagraceae
Description: eukaryotic LSU rRNA
Rfam family: 5.8S ribosomal RNA (bases 1-84)
Source: RNAcentral
UGCAGAAUCCCGUGAACCAUCGAGUCUUUGAACGCAAGUUGCGCCCUAAGCCAUUUGGCCGAGGGCACGUCUGCCUGGGCGUCAAUCAUCCAUUCGUCACCCAACCUCUGCUCCCUAAAAAUGAGCUCGGUUCCUGGGUACGGAAGUUGGCCUCCCGUGCUCCUGAAGCGCGGCUGGUCUAAAAUCGAGCAUCGGACUGAUGAUCUCCGAGGCACGCGGUGGUUGUUCAUUCUUACCUCGUGAUGUUGCCCCGGAGCGUCUCCCAUACGGAGCUCAACGACCCUAGAUUCAUAACGAUGCGACCCCAGGUCAGGCGGGGCCACCCGCUGAAUUUAA